GGCCUCGUAGCUCAGCUGGUAGAGCGUGCGCGUACAAAACGUAGCCGGUGCCCAUUCGGGAGUUCGAAUCCCACUGAGGCUA
RNAcentral lists this transfer RNA (82 nucleotides) under Echinostoma caproni. It matches the Rfam family "tRNA". Rfam says of the family: Transfer RNA (tRNA) molecules are approximately 80 nucleotides in length. Their secondary structure includes four short double-helical elements and three loops (D, anti-codon, and T loops). Further hydrogen bonds mediate the characteristic L-shaped molecular structure. tRNAs have two regions of fundamental functional importance: the anti-codon, which is responsible for specific mRNA codon recognition, and the 3' end, to which the tRNAs corresponding amino acid is attached (by aminoacyl-tRNA synthetases). tRNAs cope with the degeneracy of the genetic code in two manners: having more than one tRNA (with a specific anti-codon) for a particular amino acid; and 'wobble' base-pairing, i.e. permitting non-standard base-pairing at the 3rd anti-codon position. The record is from Rfam by way of RNAcentral. Lineage: Eukaryota; Metazoa; Platyhelminthes; Trematoda; Plagiorchiida; Echinostomatidae.